GAUGAACGCUAGCGGCAGGCCUAAUACAUGCAAGUCGAACGGUAAGGCCCGUUUCGGGGGUACACGAGUGGCGGACGGGUGCGUAACGCGUAUGCAACAUGCCUUCCAGCGGGGGAUAUACCAGGGAAACUUGGCGCAACUACCCCAUAGAAUUACGGGACCGCAUGGUCUUGUGAAUUAAAACUCCGGUGCUGGGAGAGUGGGCAUGCGUGUCAUUAGUUAGUUGGCGGGGUAACGGCCCACCAAGACCACGAUGACUAGGGGAUCUGAGAGGAUGACCCCCCACACUGGAACUGAGACACGGUCCAGACUCCUACGGGAGGCAGCAGUGGGGAAUAUUGGACAAUGGGCGCAAGCCUGAUCCAGCAAUGCCGCGUGUGUGAAGAAGGCCUGCGGGUUGUAAAGCACUUCCAGUGGGGAAGAACAGGUUCGGGUCAAUACCCCGGAGCCCUGACGUUACCCACAGAAGAAGCACCGGCUAACUCCGUGCCAGCAGACGCGGUAAUGUAGU
RNAcentral lists this ribosomal RNA (511 nucleotides) under uncultured bacterium. RNAcentral describes it as "bacterial SSU rRNA". It matches the Rfam family "Bacterial small subunit ribosomal RNA", at positions 28 to 529 of the family's 1533-position model. The record is from RNAcentral.